GAAUCUCUAAAGUCUAGAAGAAAGCGAUCCUAAUUAAUCAAAUCUUUCAUCCAACUAAUUCAACAAUUUUCCACAUUGUUUUACAUUUCGUUCGAUUUUCUUCCUUGAAAAUUUCAGAUACACAUUAAAUGGGUCAUGAACAUUCGAGAUCAAAUUCAUCCCUUGAAGAUUUCGCCGACAACUCAAAAUAAUCGCGGAUGAGAAGACCAAUUUGUAACACCAAUUUGAGAAACCUCUCUCUCUCUUCCCCAUUAUUUAUUAUUUCUCCCUCUAAAAUUUUC
This 281-nucleotide long non-coding RNA is filed under the name Solanum tuberosum (potato). RNAcentral's name for it is "long non-coding RNA (STUB_LNC007485)". The record is from RNAcentral. Lineage: Eukaryota; Viridiplantae; Streptophyta; Magnoliopsida; Solanales; Solanaceae.